Molecule: transfer RNA, 72 nt
Filed under: Phrynosoma platyrhinos (Desert horned lizard)
Lineage: Eukaryota; Metazoa; Chordata; Lepidosauria; Squamata; Phrynosomatidae
Description: tRNA-OTHER
Source: RNAcentral
GCUGGUGUGGUGUAGUGGUUUGAAUGUUGGACUAGGACUCUGGAGACCAGGGUUUGAUUCCCAUCUUGGGCA